This 253-nucleotide ribosomal RNA is filed under the name uncultured bacterium. RNAcentral describes it as "partial 16S ribosomal RNA". It matches the Rfam family "Bacterial small subunit ribosomal RNA", at positions 524 to 776 of the family's 1533-position model. The record is from RNAcentral.
GACGAGCCUCACAAACGUUAUUCGGAAUUACUGGGCUUAAAGGGUGCGUAGGCGGCGCGGAAAGUUGGGUGUGAAAUCCCUCGGCUUAACCGAGGAACUGCCCUCCAAACUGCUUCGCUUGAGACCGGGAGAGGUGAGUGGAAUUCCCAGUGUAGCGGUGAAAUGCGUAGAUAUUGGGAGGAACACCAGUGGCGAAGGCGGCUCACUGGACCGGUACUGACGCUGAUGCGCGAAAGCGUGGGGAGCAAACGGG